This is a long non-coding RNA of Drosophila albomicans, 2650 nucleotides long. RefSeq lists it as uncharacterized. Lineage: Eukaryota; Metazoa; Arthropoda; Insecta; Diptera; Drosophilidae. The record is from RefSeq and is a predicted model, not a curated record. The transcript has 3 exons.
ACGCAAGCGAGCGAGUCGCGUAGCACAAAGCAAAAAGAUACAAAAAAAAUAAACCUAAACGUACGCUUAGAACUCCAGAGUUUUGUUAGCCAGUGUGUGACUCAGUUCGACGCUUGAGGCCAGCGAUAGUUGUUGCUGUUGUUGGUGGCGCGUUCGAAUUUUUUUGUGUACGUCGCUUUUGGUGGUGGUUACCUGUCGUGUUGGCCACGUUUGUGUCGAUCCGAUCAGUGCACCGUCAGCGAGCGGCGCGCGCAGUUCGUCGUUCGUCCCCAGCAACAGUCACACAGUCAACAGUCAACAGUCAGCAGACAGCAGUCGAGCGGCAAUAGCGCCAGCUGCGAGCGAGCCAGAGAUAUCACACACAACACACACACACACAACAACAAGCAAAAGUGUUAGAUAAACUGAUAAUACAAUAGCAAAAUAGAAAUAGACAUGCACAGAAACGUGGCGCAAAAAACAACAACAACAACAACAACAAUAAGAACUCAACAAACAACAAUAAAACGAAAAAAAAAAGAAAACUAUAUAUUAAAAAAACAACGAGAAAUGAGCAACGUCAACGGCGAAAACGGAGAACGGCAAAAGCACAGCGCACAGCGCACAGUGUCAAUAAAACUCUCGAAUUCAUUAACACAACACAAAACGUUCUAUUAGUAAGCACUUGCAAAUUUUGUGCUCCACAACGAGAAGGCGAGAGGAGUCGAGAAGGGAGCGAGGACAACACAGCGGAGCAUCGCAGCGUUGAAAAGAAGACUCAAGCAGAACAAAAAAUUAGCGUUGAGAGACCCUAUCGAAUUGGGAGAAGCAACAGCAACAGCAACUUGUUCACCAGCAACAGUUGAAAGGUCUAAGCUAUCAAAUAGAGGAGAGCACUGCAAACACACACACAUACACAUGGGCUCAGCGACUGGCAUAAAACACCUCAUAAACGUCAGACGCCAGACAGAAGAGACUCUCAAAAAGUUAGAGCCCAUAAUAAAAAUCAACAGCGACAACAACAACAACUACAACAGCAGCAUCAGCAGCAACAGCAGCCGCAACAUGAGCAGCAACAAAAGUAACAACAACAGCAGCAACAAAAGUAACUGCUGACCGUUGUGUCCUUGGCCUCCAAAAGGGCAGCGCAACAACGCAACAUCAAUGGGGGCAAAAAUAGAGGCUGGCGGCAUUUGACAUUUCCCCGGAGUCCUUUUUGUGCUGCAUUUGCGACAAAUGGAGCGAAGUUUUGUGGCAGUGUUCUCUUGCAGACAACUUGAACAUGUCAAUCACGAUGUGAAUGUGGACUUGCGAAAUGGCCGCGAGACGCUUCCUGUUGGGUAAGCUGAUGCUGCUGCUGAUACCUGAUACAUGAGACAACUAGGCAAGUAGAAGACAGUCAAGACAGACAGACAGACAGUCAAGGGGCAGUCAGAUUGAUGUUUAGUCAAAGCAAAUGCCAAUGCCAAGAGUUUGACAAAAAACUUGACUUGAACACGCACACGCAGAGGCACAGUUGACCCUGCCUAAAGCGACCCCUCGCUGACCUUUACCGCCUGCCGCGACUAAUUUAUCAAAUAAAAGCAAAGCGAAAUUGAAUGUCGGUUCAGAGACGACGACGACGACGAUGCAUAAUUAAGCUAAAAGGAAAAGAGACACAGAGCGAAAGGAAGGCAGCGGUAUAUUAUGUUUUUUUUUACCUCUUUUUUUGGGGGUCUACAAAUGCGUUUUUAAACCAUUGAGCAACGCCUCUUUCUAACAGUUUUUUUGUUAUUAGUUGUGGUUUCCAUUCGGCUGUUUGAUUUUUGUUAAUUGCCGCUUAUUAAUCUUAGGGCUAUUUCGCUGUGGCCUGUUUAAUGGUCUUGCAAACAAAAAUUCUAAUUAAUGAAAUAUUCGGGGAGAAAAAGAAAAAGCCACAUUUUGUUAAACACAAAACAAAAUUCCAAAAACGAAACUAUUCUGGCCAUUGUUUGGACGUCUUUCGACAAUUAAUCAAAAAGAACAGGCUCAGCAUCCACAAAAAGAGAAAAAAAACUGUAGAAUCUUCCAAUAGACAAAGCCUAGGCAUUGUCUAUGAGAUUGCUCGACGAUCUUGCUCAGUGCGGCGCAUUGACAAAUUUGUUGGCAACUUGCAGCUUCAAAUUAAGUCAUCAAUCAUUUUGUGCUGUGAUAUCAAAGCAGCCGCGCUUUGAUUAAACUGAAAACUGAAAUUGAAAUUGAGGGGCGACAUUCAUAAUCAAAUGAUAUUGAAAGUCAAGAUGGUGGUCCAAACACAGAUCUCUCUCCCAUUCGAAUUGACGUUGGUACAGUUUGAGUUGCUAACGAGUUGAGUUGAUUCGAGUAGACGUAGUUGUAUUUUCUGUGUUUGUAGAGUUGAAAGUUGCCAGGUAGAUAUCGCAUGUGAUUGAAAUGAAAUAUAAAAUUACAUUAAAUUACCGGAUGUAAUUGCGGUGGUCGUGCCAGUCGCUCAACUCAACUCAACCCAACUCGACUCAACUCGACUGAACGCAACGCAACUUAACUGAGCUCAGACUCAGUAGCAGAGCGUCUGUCUGCUCUCUUGCUCUGGUCAAUGAAUCAUGGCCAAAACGAAGUGCGACGCAAUUGUAGUCAGGGCAGUUGGGACAACAGGGCAGCAAAAAAAAAAAAAAAAAAACAGAGAAAAACAAAA